RNAcentral lists this long non-coding RNA (316 nucleotides) under Elaeis guineensis (African oil palm). RNAcentral describes it as "long non-coding RNA (EGUI_LNC039086)". The record is from RNAcentral. Lineage: Eukaryota; Viridiplantae; Streptophyta; Magnoliopsida; Arecales; Arecaceae.
GAUGAUGGAUCAUGGAUAAAUUAUCAAAUCUUAGCAUCAGUCAUAUGAUAGAUUUGAUUAACUCAAAUCUAGUUGUGAUUUCUAUGGAAAUUCUUUUCUAUCAAUCACACUACUGUGGGCACAGACUCUUGGACUUAGCCUCUCAAAUCUCAUAGAACUACUCUUUAUCAAGGUCGAUAGAUCUUAUCUUGAUGCGCACCCCACUCCUACAGUGGACCAACCGUCGCCAACAUCCAUUACAAAGGCUUAUUAUUGAGAUCCAUGUUUAUAUGUCAGUCAAACUCCAGCAGUCUCACUGCGAGUAGCAGUAUCAUCU